This 73-nucleotide transfer RNA is filed under the name Merluccius polli (Benguela hake). It matches the Rfam family "tRNA". Rfam says of the family: Transfer RNA (tRNA) molecules are approximately 80 nucleotides in length. The record is from Rfam by way of RNAcentral. Lineage: Eukaryota; Metazoa; Chordata; Actinopteri; Gadiformes; Merlucciidae.
GCCUGGUUAGCUCAGUCGGUAGAGCAUGAGACUCUUAAUCUCAGGGUCGUCGGUUCGAGCCCCACAUUGGGCG